RNAcentral lists this ribosomal RNA (627 nucleotides) under uncultured Nitrosomonadales bacterium. RNAcentral describes it as "bacterial SSU rRNA". It matches the Rfam family "Bacterial small subunit ribosomal RNA", at positions 707 to 1336 of the family's 1533-position model. The record is from RNAcentral. Lineage: Bacteria; Pseudomonadati; Pseudomonadota; Betaproteobacteria; Nitrosomonadales.
CACCGAUGGCGAAGGCAGCCCCCUGGGAUGACACUGUACGCUCAUGUACGAAAGCGUGGGUAGCANACAGGAUUAGAUACCCUGGUAGUCCACGCCCUAAACGAUGUCAACUGGUUGUUGGGGGAGUGAAAUCCCUUAGUAACGAAGCUAACGCGUGAAGUUGACCGCCUGGGGAGUACGGUCGCAAGAUUAAAACUCAAAGGAAUUGACGGGGACCCGCACAAGCGGUGGAUGAUGUGGAUUAAUUCGAUGCAACGCGAAAAACCUUACCUACCCUUGACAUGUCCGGAAUCCUGCAGAGAUGCGGGAGUGCCCGAAAGGGAAUCGGAACACAGGUGCUGCAUGGCUGUCGUCAGCUCGUGUCGUGAGAUGUUGGGUUAAGUCCCGCAACGAGCGCAACCCUUAUCAUUAGUUGCUACGCAAGGGCACUCUAAUGAGACUGCCGGUGACAAACCGGAGGAAGGUGGGGAUGACGUCAAGUCCUCAUGGCCCUUAUGGGUAGGGCUUCACACGUCAUACAAUGGUCGGUACAGAGGGUUGCCAAGCCGCGAGGUGGAGCCAAUCCCAGAAAGCCGAUCGUAGUCCGGAUUGUUCUCUGCAACUCGAGAGCAUGAAGUCGGAAUCGCU